UACGGGGGGAGCAAGCGUUGUUCGGAUUUACUGGGCGUAAAGGGCGCGUAGGCGGUCGUGACAAGUCACUUGUGAAAUCUCCGGGCUUAACUCGGAACGGUCAAGUGAUACUGUCGGACUAGAGUACAGAAGGGGCAACUGGAAUUCUCGGUGUAGCGGUGAAAUGCGUAGAUAUCGAGAGGAACACCUGCGGCGAAGGCGGGUUGCUGGGCUGAUACUGACGCCGAGGCGCGAAAGCCAGGGGAGCGAACGGG
RNAcentral lists this ribosomal RNA (254 nucleotides) under uncultured bacterium. Its description in RNAcentral is "partial 16S ribosomal RNA". It matches the Rfam family "Bacterial small subunit ribosomal RNA", at positions 524 to 776 of the family's 1533-position model. The record is from RNAcentral.